CACGAAGUAGUUCAGUGGUAGAAUACAACCUUGCCAAGGUUGGGGUCGCGGGUUCGAAUCCCGUCUUCCGCU
Molecule: transfer RNA, 72 nt
Filed under: Bacillus sp. Root11
Lineage: Bacteria; Bacillati; Bacillota; Bacilli; Caryophanales; Bacillaceae
Description: tRNA-Gly
Rfam family: tRNA
About the family: Transfer RNA (tRNA) molecules are approximately 80 nucleotides in length. Their secondary structure includes four short double-helical elements and three loops (D, anti-codon, and T loops).
Source: RNAcentral